GGCCUACGGGAGGCAGCAGUGAGGAAUAUUGGUCAAUAGGCUUACGCCUGAACCAGCCAAGUCGCGUGAGGGAAGACUGCCCUAUGGGUUGUAAACCUCUUUUGUCAGGGAGCAACGCCGGCUACGUGUAGCCGGACUGAGAGUACCUGAAGAAAAAGCAUCGGCUAACUCCGUGCCAGCAGCCGCGGUAAUACGGAGGAUGCGAGCGUUAUCCGGAUUUAUUGGGUUAAAGGGUGCGUAGGCGGCUUGGCAAGUCAGUAGUGAAAUCCAUGGGCUUAACCCAUGAACUGCUAUUGAAACUGUCG
Molecule: ribosomal RNA, 305 nt
Filed under: uncultured bacterium
Lineage: Bacteria
Description: bacterial SSU rRNA
Rfam family: Bacterial small subunit ribosomal RNA
Source: RNAcentral